Non-coding RNA from Phyllostomus hastatus (greater spear-nosed bat), 420 nucleotides. The record is from the annotation of a RefSeq genome assembly. NCBI's taxonomy places the organism in Eukaryota, Metazoa, Chordata, Mammalia, Chiroptera, Phyllostomidae.
AUGAAGCGUGGGAAUGUGUUUUCUGACACGGAUUACUUUGUGUUUGUGGGUGUCCAGUGUGAAGUACACCUGGUGGAGUCUGGCAGAGGCUUGGUGAAGCCUGGAGGGUCUCUGAGACUCUCUUGCAUGGCUUCUGGAUUCACCUUCAGUAGCUAUGCAAUGGACUGGGUCCGCCAGGCUCCCGUGAAGGGGCUGGAGUGGGUCUCAGCAAUUAGUGAUAAUGGUGGUAGCACAGACUACACCAACUCUGUGAAGGGCCGAUUCACCAUCUCCAGAGACAAUGGCAAGAGCACUCUCUACAUGCAAAUGAACAACCUGAGAUCUGAGGACACGGCUGUGUACUACUGUGUAAAAGAAACAGUGAGUGGAAGUCAGUGUGAGCCCAGACAUAAACCUCCCUGUGGGAGACAGGAGGGCUGA